AUUUUUUAAUUGAAAUUAACUAUAAGACAGGUAGUCAGAUUCAAAGAGUAUUUAUGUAUUUAACUAAUUAAAGAAAAGCUUUUAACAUAAAUUAAAAUGGAUGAAAACAGUGUUAGGAAAAUUGUAGACUGGAAUAUAGAUUGCAUGAAAGAGGAUUUAAUGGAUUGCAGAACAGAAAUUAAAAUUGCAGAAUAAAUAUAACUUU
RNAcentral lists this long non-coding RNA (205 nucleotides) under Phoenix dactylifera (date palm). RNAcentral's name for it is "long non-coding RNA (PDAC_LNC012607)". Lineage: Eukaryota; Viridiplantae; Streptophyta; Magnoliopsida; Arecales; Arecaceae. The record is from RNAcentral.